Molecule: ribosomal RNA, 482 nt
Filed under: uncultured bacterium
Lineage: Bacteria
Description: partial 16S ribosomal RNA
Rfam family: Bacterial small subunit ribosomal RNA
Source: RNAcentral
AUUGAACGCUGGCGGCAUGCUUUACACAUGCAAGUCGAACGGUAACAGGUCUUCGGCUGCUGACGAGUGGCGCACGGGUGAGUAAUACAUCGGAACGUGCCUAGUAGUGGGGGAUAACUACUCGAAAGAGUAGCUAAUACCGCAUGAGAUCUACGGAUGAAAGCAGGGGACCUUCGGGCCUUGUGCUACUAGAGCGGCUGAUGGCAGAUUAGGUAGUUGGUGGGGUAAAGGCUUACCAAGCCUGCGAUCUGUAGCUGGUCUGAGAGGACGACCAGCCACACUGGGACUGAGACACGGCCCAGACUCCUACGGGAGGCAGCAGUGGGGAAUUUUGGACAAUGGGCGAAAGCCUGAUCCAGCAAUGCCGCGUGCAGGAUGAAGGCCCUCGGGUUGUAAACUGCUUUUGUACGGAACGAAAAGCCUGGGGCUAAUAUCCCCGGGUCAUGACGGUACCGUAAGAAUAAGCACCGGCUAACUACGUG